This 430-nucleotide ribosomal RNA is filed under the name uncultured bacterium. Its description in RNAcentral is "partial 16S ribosomal RNA". It matches the Rfam family "Bacterial small subunit ribosomal RNA", at positions 354 to 796 of the family's 1533-position model. The record is from RNAcentral.
GUGGGGAAUAUUGCACAAUGGGCGAAAGCCUGAUGCAGCAACGCCGCGUGAGGGACGACGGCCUUCGGGUUGUAAACCUCUUUUAGUAGGGAAGAAGCGAAAGUGACGGUACCUGCAGAAAAAGCACCGGCUAACUACGUGCCAGCAGCCGCGGUAAUACGUAGGGUGCAAGCGUUAUCCGGAAUUAUUGGGCGUAAAGAGCUCGUAGGCGGUCUGUCGCGUCUGCUGUGAAAACUGGAGGCUCAACCUCCAGCCUGCAGUGGGUACGGGCAGACUAGAGUGCGGUAGGGGAGAUUGGAAUUCCUGGUGUAGCGGUGGAAUGCGCAGAUAUCAGGAGGAACACCGAUGGCGAAGGCAGAUCUCUGGGCCGUAACUGACGCUGAGGAGCGAAAGCGUGGGGAGCAAACAGGAUUAGAUACCCGGGUAGUCC